This 339-nucleotide unclassified non-coding RNA is filed under the name Hevea brasiliensis (rubber tree). The record is from RNAcentral. Lineage: Eukaryota; Viridiplantae; Streptophyta; Magnoliopsida; Malpighiales; Euphorbiaceae.
AAAUAAGCAUCUCAUAUGUAAAUAACUUCUGUACAAACAAUGUAAAACCAAUAAAAUAUUACUGAGUAUAAAAACAUGAAAUAUCUAAUAUAGAUUCAAAUGCAAACCUCAUCUAAUAUGAUCACUAUUACAAUAUAACACAACUGCCAUCCAUUAUAUUAAUUGAAUUUUUAUGUAGAGUAUCUAAUAUAUAUGUAAAUAUGGCUUUGGAUUUGAAAUUUUAGCUAAAAUCUGUGUUAAGAAAAACAAAAAUAAGCUCAUACUUCCUACCAAAUCCUUUAGAUAGUGCAUUUAAAUAGGCCUUCUUGUCCAGUAUUUCAAAUUUAAACUCCUCCUAAA